This 406-nucleotide ribosomal RNA is filed under the name uncultured bacterium. RNAcentral's name for it is "partial 16S ribosomal RNA". It matches the Rfam family "Bacterial small subunit ribosomal RNA", at positions 30 to 526 of the family's 1533-position model. The record is from RNAcentral.
AUUGAACGCUGGCGGCAGGCCUAACACAUGCAAGUCGCACGAGUGGCGGACGGGUGAGUAAUGUCAGGGAAAAUGCCUGAAGGCGGGGGGUGACUACUUGAAACGGUAGCUCAUACCGCAUACCAUCACCUGUGCCCAGAUGGUAUUAGCUUGUUGGUUGGGUAACGGCUCACCACGGCGACGACCCCUAGCGGGCCUGAGAGUAUGACAAGCCACACUGGGACUGAGUCACGGUCCAGACUCCUACGGUAGGCAGCAGUGGGGAAUAUUGCACCAUGGGCGCAAGCCUGAUGCUGCCAUGCCGCGUGUAUGAAGAAGGCCUUAGGGUUGUAAAGUCCUUUCAGCGGGGAGGCGUUACCCGCAGAAGAAGCACCGUCUAACUCCGUGCCAGCAGCCGCGGUAAUUC